AAAAAUUUGGCGGUAUUUUAGUCUUUUCAGAGGAACCUGCCCUGUAAUUGAUAGUCCACGAUAAAACUUACUUUAUUUAUUAGUUCACAUAUCGUCGUAGUUGGAAUAUUUUAAUAGAAAUUUAAUAUUCAUAAUUUUAAAUUAAAAAAUCAAUCAGAUCAAGGUGUAGUUUAUAGUAAAGGAGAGGUGGGUUACAUUAAAUUUAUUUCAGGAUAAUUUUUUUUAAAAAAAUUUGAAUUUGGAU
This 244-nucleotide ribosomal RNA is filed under the name Merobruchus placidus. Its description in RNAcentral is "partial 12S small subunit ribosomal RNA". The record is from RNAcentral. Lineage: Eukaryota; Metazoa; Arthropoda; Insecta; Coleoptera; Chrysomelidae.